RNAcentral lists this transfer RNA (56 nucleotides) under Triticum aestivum (bread wheat). It matches the Rfam family "tRNA", at positions 10 to 63 of the family's 71-position model. From Rfam's summary of the family: Transfer RNA (tRNA) molecules are approximately 80 nucleotides in length. Lineage: Eukaryota; Viridiplantae; Streptophyta; Magnoliopsida; Poales; Poaceae. RNAcentral also lists the same sequence under 1 other name. The record is from Rfam by way of RNAcentral.
ACUCAGCUAGUAGAGUACAAAGCUCUUAACCUUGUGGACGUGGGUUCAAGCCCCAU